UUUGCCUACGGGACGCAGCAGUUAGGAAUAUUCGUCAAUGGGGGGAACCCUGAACGAGCAAUGCCGCGUGAGUGAUGAAGGCCCUAUGGGUUGUAAAACUCUGUUAUUGAGAAAGAAUGGUAAGAUUAGGAAAUGAUUCUUACUUGACGGUACUCUUCAAGAAAGCCACGGCUAACUACGUGCCAGCAGCCGCGGUAAUACGUAGGUGGCGAGCGUUAUCCGGAUUUAUUGGGCGUAAAGCGUGCGCAGGCGGCUUAUUAAGUCUAAGAUUAAAGCCCGGAGCUUAACUCCGGUUCGUCUUAGAA
RNAcentral lists this ribosomal RNA (305 nucleotides) under uncultured bacterium. Its description in RNAcentral is "bacterial SSU rRNA". It matches the Rfam family "Bacterial small subunit ribosomal RNA", at positions 334 to 631 of the family's 1533-position model. The record is from RNAcentral.